AUUGAACGCUGGCGGCAGGCCUAACACAUGCAAGUCGAACGGUAACAGGAAGCAGCUUGCUGCUUCGCUGACGAGUGGCGGACGGGUGAGUAAUGUCUGGGAAACUGCCUGAUGGAGGGGGAUAACUACUGGAAACGGUAGCUAAUACCGCAUAACGUCGCAAGACCAAAGAGGGGGACCUUAGGGCCUCUUGCCAUCGGAUGUGCCCAGAUGGGAUUAGCUAGUAGGUGGGGUAACGGCUCACCUAGGCGACGAUCCCUAGCUGGUCUGAGAGGAUGACCAGCCACACCGGAACUUAGACACGGUCCAGACUCCUACGGGAGGCAGCAGGGGGGAAUAUUGCACAAUGGGCGGAAGCCUGAUGCAGCCAUGCCGCGUGGAUGAAGAAGGCCUUCGGGUUGUAAAGUACUUUCAGCGGGGAGGAAGGGAGUAAAGUUAAUACCUUUGCUCAUUGACGUUACCCGCAGAAGAAGCACCGGCUAACUCCGUG
RNAcentral lists this ribosomal RNA (490 nucleotides) under uncultured bacterium. RNAcentral's name for it is "partial 16S ribosomal RNA". It matches the Rfam family "Bacterial small subunit ribosomal RNA", at positions 30 to 507 of the family's 1533-position model. The record is from RNAcentral.